Molecule: ribosomal RNA, 492 nt
Filed under: uncultured bacterium
Lineage: Bacteria
Description: partial 16S ribosomal RNA
Rfam family: Bacterial small subunit ribosomal RNA
Source: RNAcentral
AGUGAACGCUGGCGGUAGGCCUAACACAUGCAAGUCGAACGGCAGCACAGUAAGAGCUUGCUCUUACGGGUGGCGAGUGGCGGACGGGUGAGGCAUACAUCGGAAUCUACUUUUUCGUGGGGGAUAACGUAGGGAAACUUACGCUAAUACCGCAUACGACCUACGGGUGAAAGCAGGGGAUCUUCGGACCUUGCGCGAUUGAAUGAGCCGAUGUCGGAUUAGCUAGUUGGCGGGGUAAAGGCCCACCAAGGCGACGAUCCGUAGCUGGUCUGAGAGGAUGAUCGGCCACACUGGAACUGAGACACCGUCCAGACUCCUACGGGAGGCAGCAGUGGGGAAUAUUGGACAAUGGGCGCAAGCCUGAUCCAGCCAUACCGCGUGGGUGAAGAAGGCCUUCGGGUUGUAAAGCCCUUUUGUUGGGAAAGAAAAGCAGCAGGUUAAUACCCCGCUGUUCUGACGGUACCCAAAGAAUAAGCACCGGCUAACUUCGUG